RNAcentral lists this ribosomal RNA (482 nucleotides) under uncultured bacterium. RNAcentral's name for it is "partial 16S ribosomal RNA". It matches the Rfam family "Bacterial small subunit ribosomal RNA", at positions 30 to 507 of the family's 1533-position model. The record is from RNAcentral.
AUUGAACGCUGGCGGCAUGAUUUACACAUGCAAGUCGAACGGUAACAGGCCGCAAGGUGCUGACGAGUGGCGAACGGGUGAGUAAUGCAUCGGAACGUGCCCAGUCGUGGGGGAUAACUACUCGAAAGAGUAGCUAAUACCGCAUACGAUCUAUGGAUGAAAGCGGGGGACCGUAAGGCCUCGCGCGAUUGGAGCGGCCGAUGUCAGAUUAGGUAGUUGGUGGGGUAAAGGCUCACCAAGCCAACGAUCUGUAGCUGGUCUGAGAGGACGACCAGCCACACUGGGACUGAGACACGGCCCAGACUCCUACGGGAGGCAGCAGUGGGGAAUUUUGGACAAUGGGCGCAAGCCUGAUCCAGCAAUGCCGCGUGCAGGAAGAAGGCCUUCGGGUUGUAAAAUGCUUUUGUACGGAACGAAACGGCUCUGGUUAAUACCCGGGGCUAAUGACGGUACCGUAAGAAUAAGCACCGGCUAACUACGUG